AUUGAACGCUGGCGGCAGGCCUAACACAUGCAAGUCGAACGAGCGGCGGACGGGUGAGUAAUGUCUGGGAAACUGCCUGAUGGAGGGGGAUAACUACUGGAAACGGUAGCUAAUACCGCAUACCAUCAGAUGUGCCCAGAUUGGAUUAGCUAGUAGGUGGGGUAACGGCUCACCUGGGCGACGAUCCCUAGCUGGUCUGAGAGGAUGACCAGCGACACUGGAACUGAGACACGGUCCAGACUCCUACGGGAGGCAGCAGUGGGGAAUAUUGCACAAUGGGCGCAAGCCUGAUGCAGCCAUGCCGCGUGUGUGAAGAAGGCCUUCGGGUUGUAAAGUACUUUAAGCGGGGAGGCGUUACCCGCAGAAGAAGCACCGGCUAACUCCGUGCCAGCAGCCGCGGUAAUAC
RNAcentral lists this ribosomal RNA (406 nucleotides) under uncultured bacterium. RNAcentral's name for it is "partial 16S ribosomal RNA". It matches the Rfam family "Bacterial small subunit ribosomal RNA", at positions 30 to 526 of the family's 1533-position model. The record is from RNAcentral.